Molecule: non-coding RNA, 1652 nt
Organism: Manis javanica (Malayan pangolin)
Lineage: Eukaryota; Metazoa; Chordata; Mammalia; Pholidota; Manidae
Source: RefSeq, a predicted model, not a curated record
CACCCUGACAGCCUGGGGCUGUUGCAGUCCAUGAGCCUGCUGCUGGCAGAGUUCUCAGGCGGCUCUCCUGUGCGCCGUGCAUGGGUUCUGUCCAGGGCAUGGACCUGGGAGUGGAGCUUCUCUAAAGGGCCACAGGGAACAGAGAAUAUCUUGGUUUGGGGAGCGGCAGACGGAGAUGGGCAUUGGGGAAGCAGAAGCAGGCAAGGCCAGUAGCCUGGAAUCCUGAAAGCACAGAAAUAUAUGGGACUCGGCCUGGGGGAGCUGCUGGAGCCCUUGGAGGGAGGGAGAGCCCUCACUUCAAAGGCCUCAUCGCUGAGAAUUCCAGCCACAGCCUUCCAGAAGAACCCACUGCCCAGCCCACUGGCCAGCCAAGGUCUCCCGGCUGACAGAUCCGAGGUUUGGUGGCAUGGUUGUGGAGCAAGACGCUAAGGAAGCAGGUCCCGCCACACUGCAGGAGGGCUGGGCCGGGCUGCGGCACCUUCUCUCCUGGUGUGUGGCUGAGGAGAUAAAGCCCAUUGUGUCAGAGCUCCAUGUGCCCCUUGCAGUUUGCAUGGCUUUCUUCAGAGCAGAGAUGGCCCCGCCUUCCAUGCAUUUCAUUCCCCAGGAUGCUCACCCUUGAAAGUGAGGCCACCUGGAGAGCUUAUGUGGAGGUGUUUCGGUUGACAUCUGCUGCAGUCCCAGUCAGCAGGUGGCAUCAACUGGCAGACAUGUGAAGAAUGAGCCUUCAGUUGAUCCCAGCCUACAGCCUUUGAGCCACCCCAGCUGGUGCAAGGUACAGCAGAGAGGAGCUGUUCCCGCCAAAACCCUGCCCAAAUUGCAGAUGCGUGAGCAAAAUAAACGGUGUAACUGAGAUUUGGGAGUUGGUGACGUUGCAGUAGAUAACAAGAGCAUUCUAUCAACUUGCAUGAAAAAUGUUGAACACCCAAUAUUGAGUACUCCAAAGGGUAAAAGGGCUAUAGAGACAUCAGACUGUUUUACCAGUGAGGCCAUGCAACCAAAGACAGACAGACAUGAAGGGACGGAAAUUUUUUAAAUGCCACUGGAGAGUUGUAUUGAUCUCAUGUAUCACUGACAUUCUGGACUUGGACCUGACAUUUCAGGACUGUGUUCACUGACUUCCCUUCAUCUCUUCAGGUGUGUGUGUGUCGGGGGGGUGGGGUAUGUGUGAGUGAUACCAUCAUUUUAUCCAUUCUCAACAGAGAAUACUGCUUUGCUAAGUGAGCAGCAUUUGCUGGUCCAGGUACCUGGUUGCAAGUCAUCUGCUCCUGCAGGAUCCUUAGAUUGACAGCUCCCAGCUCACCCAUUUGCAGACCCCCAGAUCAGUCUCUCUCAAAGUGGUCAUUUCCCAUCAAGUAAUGAAAAUAACACCUACCAUUUAUUGGAUGUCUGUUAUGAAUCAUCAUCUCAGUCCUCAUACCCCCACACAGCAGGCAAUAUCACCUCCAUUUCCUAGGAAGCUGAAUUAAAUUUGCCAGUAGAUACAUGGCUGAGAUUUGACCCCACAUUUGUGUAAUAUCCCAACCCUUUGUCUUGCCACUAACUCCCCUCCACUACCUUCCUGAGGACAUGAAAGACUCAGGCAGAUCUCUGACAGAUCUUAAGUAGGUACUUUGUUUUUUAACUGAAAUACAGUUGAUAUACAAUAUUAUAUU